CACGAAUGGGGCAAGCGUUGUUCGGAAUCACUGGGCUUAAAGCGUGCGUAGGCGGACCAACAGGUCAGGAGUGAAAUCCCCGGGCUCAACCCGGGAAUUGCUUUUGAAACUGUCGGUCUAGAAUCCUGGAGAGGUUAGGAGAAUUCCGAGUGUAGAGGUGAAAUUCGCAGAUAUUCGGAGGAAUACCAGUGGCGUAGGCGCCUAACUGGACGGGCAUUGACGCUGAGGCACGAAAGCGUGGGUAGCAAACAGG
This 253-nucleotide ribosomal RNA is filed under the name uncultured bacterium. Its description in RNAcentral is "partial 16S ribosomal RNA". It matches the Rfam family "Bacterial small subunit ribosomal RNA", at positions 524 to 776 of the family's 1533-position model. The record is from RNAcentral.